Molecule: long non-coding RNA, 372 nt
Filed under: Androctonus crassicauda
Lineage: Eukaryota; Metazoa; Arthropoda; Arachnida; Scorpiones; Buthidae
Source: RNAcentral
UAUACAGAAGAACCUAAAAUGAGAGCUUUUGCCUGCCUAAGUCCAGGAGCAGAUCUUCAGUAAAUGAGAUGCUAAGCUGUUAAACAGUCCCUGACAACCUGCCCAAAUGCAACAGAUCAGAUGCCCAAAGGCAAGCUCGGGUCCAAUAAAGGGACAAGAAGCUCCUUCCUUGGCAAUUAUGUGUUAAAAAAAGCAGUAAAUGAACACAUAGUUAAAAUAUUGUUUAUCUUAACUGACUUAGCCAAAAUUUUUGUACAAUUGGCAAUAUUUUUUUCAAUUACAAAUUUUAGAGUGCACAAUAUGAAAAUUUCAUGUUUUACUUAAAAUUUCAAAAAUAAAAUUAUUUCAUUCCAAAUAUGAAGGUUAACGAAU